AACGUAGGAGGCGAGCGUUAUCCGGAUUUACUGGGCGUAAAGCGCGCGUAGGCGGUUGGGUAAGUCUGACGUGAAAGCCCCUGGCUCAACUGGGGGAGGCCGUUGGAUACUGCCCGGCUUGAGGGUGAUAGAGGAGAGUGGAAUUCCCGGUGUAGCGGUGGAAUGCGUAGAGAUCGGGAGGAACACCAGUGGCGAAAGCGGCUCUCUGGCUCACCCCUGACGCUGAUUGCGCGAAAGCGUGGGUAGCAAACGGG
RNAcentral lists this ribosomal RNA (254 nucleotides) under uncultured bacterium. RNAcentral's name for it is "partial 16S ribosomal RNA". It matches the Rfam family "Bacterial small subunit ribosomal RNA", at positions 524 to 776 of the family's 1533-position model. The record is from RNAcentral.